Molecule: long non-coding RNA, 318 nt
Filed under: Homo sapiens (human)
Lineage: Eukaryota; Metazoa; Chordata; Mammalia; Primates; Hominidae
Description: HSALNT0217725
Source: RNAcentral
CACAUAGUGACAGGGACCCUUGGGCUCCUGGGGGUGGUGGCAGGAGCACAUGAGUGACAGCUGUUUCCAAAUAUGGACCGAUGACAAGAUGCUUCCAAGAGCCAAAAGAUUAGGAAAGAUCUUUUCAUCUUUCAAGUGAAAAAGAUAUCUGCUAGCAAGAAUAAUGAGGAUUUGAGAAAUCAUUGUGGAAAAAGAAGAUUUGUUUAUACGAAGCCAGUGACUUUGGCCUGACUGUCAUAUGUAAGCACAUCUGACAGAAGCAAAGGCAAACCUAAUAAUCCAAUGAUUACACCCCGAGCCCAUGUAAUUUGAGAAGUG